AAAUCUUCAUUUUUUAGCAAUGGAUGUCCAAAACAACUUUCUGAUGAUUACUAGCACUGACGAAUCUCCAGUCAAUGGUCAGGUGGGCAAUUACACCCACAGCAAGAUCACGCGCUCUGAUUUUCCCCCUGAUUUUGCAUUUGGUGCUGCGACUUCAGCCUAUCAGAUUGAAGGUGGAUGGAAUGCAGGAAGUAAAGGCCUGAGUAAUUGGGAUGUUUUCACACAGAAACAACCUGGUGGCAUUUCUGACGGUAGCAAUGGCUGUGUUGCUAUUGAUCACUAUAAUAUGUUCCGGGAAGAUGUGGCAUUGAUGAAGAAAAUGGGUUUCAAUUCAUACAGAUUUUCAAUUGCAUGGACUAGAAUUUUACCAGGAGGGAGACUAUGUACUGGCGUAUGCAAAGAAGGAAUUCAAUUCUAUAACGAUCUCAUUGACGCACUCUUGGCUGCAGGCAUUGAGCCAUAUGCAACAAUCUUUCAUUGGGAUAUUCCCCAAUGUUUGGAAGAAGAGUAUGGUGGCUUCCUGAAUGAUCAAAUUGUGAAGGAUUUUUGUGAGUUUGCGGAGAUUUGCUUCUGGGAAUUCGGUGAUCGAGUAAAAUAUUGGAUCACAUUGAAUGAGCCAUGGUCCUAUAGUGUUUCUGGAUAUGCUAUUGGCUCUUUCCCACCUAAUCGCGGUAAAGCUCCAACUACUACAGGAGAGGCCAAAAAGAUUUCCAUCCUUCAUAGAUGUGUAUUUAGAUCUCAUAUUGCUCGCAAGUAUGGAGAUCCCGGGAGAGAACCAUAUAUUGUUGCACACAAUUUGAUCUUUCUCAUGCUUAUGCGGUGGAUAUAUAUAGGAGAAAAUAUCAGGAAAGUCAAGGAGGUAAGAUAGGGAUGACAAAUAACAUUCAGUGGCAUGAGCCUCUUACUGACUCUCAAGAAGAUCAAGAUGCUGCUACUAGGGGAAAUGAUUUUAUGCUUGGAUGGUUUGUAGAACCGUUAGUAACUGGAGACUAUCCGGAAAGUAUGAUAAAAAAUGUUGGCAAACGUCUUCCGAAGUUCACAGAAAAAGAGGAGAAGCUAGUGAAAGGAUCCUAUGACUUUUUAGGCAUAAACUAUUACACAUCUAUUUAUGCCUCCGAUGAUCCAUCAAAGAAUACAACUGAAAGUUACCUCACCGAUACACAAGUUUUGACUUCAGCUGAACGUAAUAAGGUGCCAAUUGGUGCAAAGGCUGGUUCUGAUUGGUUGCACAUAGUUCCGUGGGGAAUUUACAAGCUCAUGUUGGAUAUGAAGGAAAGAUAUAAUGAUCCAAUCAUUUAUAUCACAGAGAAUGGGGUGGACGAAGAGAACGAUAAGUCCAUAAAUUGUACACAGGCUCUCUCAGAUGAUAUGAGGAUUCACUAUCACCAAGAACAUCUCUACAACCUUAAAAAAGCAAUGGACGGCAAAAAUGGAAAAGAUGGAGUAAAGGUGAAGGGUUACUUCAUAUGGUCUUUGUUUGAUAAUUUUGAAUGGGCUGCUGGAUAUAGCGUCAGAUUUGGUAUAAUUUAUGUAGACUAUAAUAAUGGCCGUUAUACAAGGUUGCCAAAACGAUCAGCUGUGUGGUGGAGGAAUUUCCUCAGCAAGAAGGCUGAAACUCCAUUAAUGAAAGAAGCUGAGAAACGUGAAGAUCGUCGUAAAAGGCUUAGAGGUGACUAAUUAAGCUCAUAAAAAUUAGCGCUUCCUUAAUGUUAUGUUGAAUAAUGCAUUGUUGCAAUUGUUACCUUUAGUUUGUUUUCUUCUCGUCUUUCUUGUGGGUUGAGAAAGCCAUAUUUCAACUUGCCCUGUUGUGUUCAAAUAAAAGGAGCUGGCCAGUGAGGUUUCGAGCCCAACUCUCUGUUGCUUCCAGUUCUCUUUAAUUUUAUGAAAAAUGUGUUGUCCAACGGCUCUAAAUGAGAUAGCGAAGAAACUUUAAAACAAAUAAAAUAAAUUAUAGAUUUCCAUCCUAACAUGUAAUUCUUGACUGGAAAAAUCCUUUGGACAUUAUGCACUAGUUCAACUUUCAUAUUAAUUUCGUCAUCUCAGUCAAUGUUUCUGUAUUUGAUUUGAGCAGCUUAAA
RNA transcript from Olea europaea var. sylvestris, 2077 nucleotides. It is a transcript of the gene named beta-glucosidase-like, with no coding region annotated. The transcript has 13 exons. NCBI's taxonomy places the organism in Eukaryota, Viridiplantae, Streptophyta, Magnoliopsida, Lamiales, Oleaceae. The record is from RefSeq and is a predicted model, not a curated record.